Molecule: non-coding RNA, 867 nt
Organism: Nerophis lumbriciformis (worm pipefish)
Lineage: Eukaryota; Metazoa; Chordata; Actinopteri; Syngnathiformes; Syngnathidae
Source: RefSeq, a predicted model, not a curated record
CACAUCUGUGCCAGGGGUCUUUUCAAGGCCGUGAGGGUGUUUGUCUUUAGGGUGUGUGUAGCCUAUUGCUCCAUCUGAUUUCAUUGGUGUCCUCUCUGUCUAGUCCAGGGUGUGCAAAGUGGACUAGAAUAGUCCCCAGCUAAUAUGUUCCAGCACUGCAUCACUGCUGCCAACACAACAGUUACACUCCUUUAAGGGUGCACAUACCAAGCAAGGCAGCGUCUCUUUUUCAAAAGUGACUUAAUGAAAUGUGAUUGUCUUCCAGGAGGGUACCUUUGUUUGGACUGUUGGAUCCACAACCUAUCCCCUCCUAUCCUUUGCCGACAGACUGCCGUAUGAAGAGGAAGACUGUGUGUACAUUGCACAAACUGAUGGAAAGUGGCACGCUGCCGACUGCACUUUGCUGAAGCCAUAUGUUUGCAAGACACCAGAUCCUAAUCCUGCAAUACAGGAGUAAUCUAUGACUCUGUGUGCCACAUAUUGGCCAAUAAGCUUUUUCGAUCUGUCCUAAGGAACUUUCCAAAUACACUUUUACCGACUUUAACGUUCAAUGCUAUUGAAUAAAUGCUUUCUGAAACAAGAGCGUGGGGGGUGGAGUCUGCAGACGAGCUCUUGUCAGUGACGGUGGAGGACAGACAAACAAGAUUUUUACAACAAAGUUCAGUAGAAAAUGUCCUUUUUAUGGGACAUUUGUGCGUUUGUUGUCUCGUUUGGCUGUGUUGUUUGUCGCAUUUUUGCUGUGUUUGUGCUUGAUGGCAAACAUGCCAAGGAGGUCAUGGUUGGGAUAUAAACAUACUCUUGAUGUUCAAUGUUUCAUUGUUCAUUUACACUCUGGCUGUCUCAUUCAAUAAAAAGCUAUAAAAUGUU